AUUGAACGCUGGCGGCAGGCCUAACACAUGCAAGUCGAGCGGAUGAAGGGAGCUUUCUCCUGGAUUCCGCGGCGGACGGGUGAGUAAUGCCUAGGAAUCUGCCUGGUAGUGGGGGAUAACGUCCGGGGACGGGCGCUAAUACCGCCUACGUCCUGCGGGAGAAAGUGGGGGAUCUUCGGACCUCACGCUAUCAGAUGAGCCUAGGUCGGUUUAGUGAGUUGGUGGGGUAAAGGCCUAUCGCGGCGACGAUCCGGAACUGGUCUGAGAGGAUGUACAGGCACACUGGAACUGAGAGGCGGUCCAGAGUCCGACGGGAGGCAGAAGUGGGGAAUAUUGGAAGAAGGGCGAAAGCCUGAUCCAUCCACGCCGCGUGGGUGAAGAAGGUCUUCGGAUGGGAAAGCACUUUAAGUGGGGAGGAAGGGCAGUAAGUUAAUACCUUGCUGUUGUGACGUUACCAACAGAAGAAGCACCGGCUAACUUCGUG
Molecule: ribosomal RNA, 484 nt
Filed under: uncultured bacterium
Lineage: Bacteria
Description: partial 16S ribosomal RNA
Rfam family: Bacterial small subunit ribosomal RNA
Source: RNAcentral